This 129-nucleotide small RNA is filed under the name Enterobacter bugandensis. RNAcentral's name for it is "RtT sRNA". It matches the Rfam family "RtT RNA". From Rfam's summary of the family: This family represents a bacterial cis-regulatory element known as RtT RNA. The exact function of RtT is unknown although it is thought that it may be involved in changing the cellular response in relation to amino acid starvation. Lineage: Bacteria; Pseudomonadati; Pseudomonadota; Gammaproteobacteria; Enterobacterales; Enterobacteriaceae. The record is from RNAcentral.
UUUUUGCUAUCUGCGAUCUGGAUGAUUCGAAUCUGCAGCAGGUGCGAGCCGAACGUAGUGAGGCACCGGAGCCGUUUACGGCGACGGCCCGAAGGGCGAGCGAAGCGAGUCAUCCUGCACGACCCACCA